UCCCAUCCUUCUGUUCAAAUGUUAUGUUGCUAUUUAUUCUCAACAGGAAAGGAGCACAAAAUAGAACUGCUUUUAGAAUGGAUGCCAGCUGGAGGGUUUUUCCCUAUCAUUUCCGAGUUGUGAGAACAGGGAAGGUGGGGUGGUGUGACCCUUUCUCUGGGGCUGUUGAGGUGGGACAGGCACCCUCAGGAGUGUGCUCUGCUGAGGCACAACCUGGGGAGUAGCUUCCUGCACCCACCUGGGGGAUCUGAGAGCCUAAAAGAGCCAGAGCCCCAGAACCGGCCUGCCUUUGGCAUGGACCCUGGACAGUUCUUUCUUUGCAGGGUACGAGGCCUCCCUCUCCCAUCUCCAGACCAGGAGGGGAACCCUGGAAAGGCAGCAUUGCUAACCCUUGUGGAGAGAGCCCUGACGGAGCAAGAGCCUGUCUCAGAAGACAAACCAACCAACAAACAAAAGCCAACACAGGAGAAGGGGGCAGGAUGCGGGCUUCCUACUUCUCUCUACCCUUAGUGAGUAUGCAUUUUGCUAAGGAUCAAGUAUUGGUGCCCUCCAUGGACACCACAAGGAAGGGAGCGACUCCUGCAGGCUUCUUUGUGUAGCUCUGGGGUCUAGAAGGACUGAUUCUGGCCAGAAACAACAAGACCUCUUUCUUGGGCAUGAGGCUGGGGUGGGGGCUCCUCUAAGCCUCUUAAGAGGUACCUGGGGCCGGGCACGGUGGCUCACACCUAUAAUCCCAGCAUUUUGGGAGGCCAAGGUGGGUGGAUCACCUGAGGUCAGGAGUUUGAGACCAGUCUGGCCAACAUGGCAAAACCCUG
This 815-nucleotide long non-coding RNA is filed under the name Macaca fascicularis (crab-eating macaque). Its description in RNAcentral is "lncRNA (ENSMFAG00000055664.1)". Lineage: Eukaryota; Metazoa; Chordata; Mammalia; Primates; Cercopithecidae. The record is from RNAcentral.